ACCCACCUUAGCCACCCAAAGUGCCUGGGAUUACAGGCAUGAGCCACCAUGCCUGGCUAUUUCCUUCUUUUUUAAGGCUGAAUAAUAUUCGUGUGUGCGUGUGUGUGUGUGUGUGUGUGUGAGAUAGAUACACACACACCACAUUUUCUUUAUUCAUCUGUUGGUGGACACUUAGGUUGUUUCCAUAUCUUGGCUAUUGGGAGUAGUACUGCAAUGAACAUGGCAGUACAGAUAUCUCUUAAGGAUAGUGAUUUUAUUCUCUUUGGAUAUAUAUCCAGAAAUGAGAUUGCUGGAUCAUAUGGUAGUUCUGUUUUUAACGUUUUGAGGAACCUCCAUACUGUUUUCCAUAAUGGCUGUAUGGAAAAUAUGAGCCAAAGCUCAUUCUCUAAUAACAUUUCUUGACUAGUGCAUUCAAGUAUCUGCCCUGUCUUAACAUUUUAGCUAAUUGCUAACACAGCACAUGCAGUACAUACUUUCAGCAGGACUGAACAUUUUUAGUCAUCUAACAAAGACAUUUCAUCUCAUGACAAGUUUUUUGGACAUACCUCAAUGUGCUGUGUCUGUAGCUAACUUAAUUACAGGAGCCGCCUUGGCAGUACCAGGAACCAAAUGUUAUGACCAGCAACUCUCCUAUAGGUAGUACUGCUUUUAUAACAGUGUAAAUCACAGUUGUGCCAAUUUUUUUUUUAAAGAAGCUAAAUGGAAGAUUUAAACCUUAAGUUGUUUGGGCUUUGAAUCCUUGUGUUCUUAGAACACAAGCUUUAGUCAGACAGCAGACUUUGAGCUAGUACUUAACCUCUCUGUGCCUGAUUGAGUAAAACUGGGCUACUUUCUCAGAGUUUUAUAGAUUAAUUGAGAUAUUUUGUGUAGAGAGCUUAGAACAGUGGCUGGCUCAGAGCAUCUAUCAACCUUGAUACCAUCAUAUUCCUUGCUAGGAAAUUCUGUGUUUAUUCAUCCCUUCUUUUUCUUUCAUCCUCCUUUCUAGUUCCACAUUGAAGAUCCCAAACUUAAACCAUCAUUAAUAAUAAUAUAUGAGAACAGUAAUAAAUGUCACCAUUUAUUAACACCUAAUGUGUGCCAAGAUCUGUUCAUUUAUGAUCUCACCGAGUCCUGUGAGGUGAAACUGAGGAUUAGGAAGGUGUAAACUGGACAAGCGCAUGGCAGAGUCAGAAUCCAAACUCAAAUUUAUUUGGAUCAAGAGUGAUACACUAUUAUGCACUACUUCCUGUUACCUCCUAUGUGGUGAUAGGAAUAACUUAUAAGGAUUUUUUUUUUUUUAGACAGGAUCUUGCUCUGUCAUUCAGGUUGAAGUGCAAUGAUGCAACCAUAGCCCACUGCAGCCUCAAACUCCUGGGCUCAAGCAGUCAUCCUACCUCGCCUCCCAAGUAACUGGGACUAUAGGCAUGCACCACCACACCCAGCUAAUUUUUAAUUUUUAGUAGAGACAAGGUCUCGCUGUGUUGCCCAGGCUGGUCUCAAAUUCCUGAGCCCAAGUGAUCCUCCCGCCUCUGCCUCCCAAGGUGCUGGGAUUACAGGCGUGAGCCACCACCACACCCAGUCUACUUCUAAGGAUUUAAUGCCUUAUGUUUUCUUCAUUUAUUUCUCAUAGAACCAUUCACUCUUAGCACUUUGACUUUGAAAAUCAGGGACCAGGUUGAGCCAGACAAAAUAUUCACCUAUAAGGAGAAGGAAUGAAAAACCAGACAUUUUUCUACUUGGCUAUCAAUCCC
Homo sapiens (human) is the source of this 1730-nucleotide long non-coding RNA. The record is from Ensembl. Lineage: Eukaryota; Metazoa; Chordata; Mammalia; Primates; Hominidae.